This 305-nucleotide ribosomal RNA is filed under the name uncultured bacterium. Its description in RNAcentral is "bacterial SSU rRNA". It matches the Rfam family "Bacterial small subunit ribosomal RNA", at positions 334 to 656 of the family's 1533-position model. The record is from RNAcentral.
UUGUCCUACGGGACGCAGCAGUGGGGAAUAUUGCACAAUGGGGGAAACCCUGAUGCAGCGACGCCGCGUGAGUGAGGAAGUAUUUCGGUAUGUAAAGCUCUCUCAGCAGGGAAGAAAAUGACGGUACCUGACUAGGAAGCCCCGGCUAACUACGUGCCAGCAGCCGCGGUAAUACGUAGGGGGCAAGCGUUAUCCGGAUUUACUGGGUGUAAAGGGAGCGUAGACGGACUUGCAAGUCUGAUGUGAAAAUCCGGGGCCCAACCCCGGAACUGCAUUGGAAACUGUAUAUCUAGAGUGUCGGAGAG